RNAcentral lists this transfer RNA (83 nucleotides) under bacterium. RNAcentral describes it as "tRNA-Leu". It matches the Rfam family "tRNA". From Rfam's summary of the family: Transfer RNA (tRNA) molecules are approximately 80 nucleotides in length. The record is from RNAcentral.
GCGAGGAUGGCGGAAUUGGCAGACGCGCCAGACUUAGGAUCUGGUCCUAUCGGGUGUGGGUUCAAGUCCCACUCCUAGCACCA